ACUUUUCUCUUCUCAAUAUUUCAAGAUACAUAACAACGGAUGGCGUAAGGUGUUCGCUACAAAAGGUUGCCCUUUGCCUGCUGUUUCAUUGGUCGAUUAUCGAUGGGCGCUAAAAUGGCGCUAACACAUGUUUGUUGUUGUUGUUGAGCAAAAACAUUGCAGGCUCGAAGGCUAUAAUUCAGUGUUGAGUGAAUUUAUUGAACAUAUUGUUUGUAUCACCCAUUGGUAUCUGACUGAUAUCACCCAUCAGUCCAUCACUACUUACACCAACUCGAAAGGAUAACGAAGUCAGAAUCUAUAUUUGUGCUAUUUGAUGUUACUCUGUAGUUAAGUGAAACUUGGCUUUCAAAUUUAAUCAAAACGUUAUGUGGUUUUAUUCACGUUUUUUCCCAUUUAUUUGCAACUUUCUGGUGAAAUAUCAAGAUACAUAAGCUCACCGACGAACAACUUUCUGAUGAUUUCGUUUCUCAAAUGAAUUCCUGAAUUUUCAUCCGACGAAAUCGUAAGAUCAACGAAGUCACGAGCAUGUACUUUAUGAAAAAGAUUAGCGGUAAGUGGAUCAACAUUAGAAUUGAGGCAAUUGGAACCUUUUCUUUCAGGACAUAUCCAGGCAUAGUCAUGUGUAAUUUUUGCCACUAGAGUCCAUCCACCACCUGCUGUAGUCAUAUCGCAGUAAGCUAAGAAUGAAUUAUGUAAAUCGUCUUCUUCCUGAGGGUUUAUCCAGAACAAUCCAUCAUUUUUACCCAAACCUUUCAACUUUGCAUCAAGACAUGACGAUGGUAACUUUGCUUCCUUUUUGUUUAAUUUCCAACCCAUUUCACGCCACUCGUUGUUGUAACAUAAUAAUAAUUUACCAUUUUUAACAUCAUAAUGAAACUUUCCUUGUUUUCUCCUCGUACAUUCCAUUGAAUGAGUUGCAAUUUUACCAAAAAAUUCCUGAAAUAGAAACAAAACAUAUGUUUGUAUUAUGUUUGCAUUUUUUGUUCUAUAGACGUGAUGAAUUUGAAUUUUUUUUGCAAAUGCUGAGUGUUACAUAGCAUUUAAUUAAAGGUUACUUUAAAUCAAA
Molecule: long non-coding RNA, 1066 nt
Organism: Xenia sp. Carnegie-2017
Lineage: Eukaryota; Metazoa; Cnidaria; Anthozoa; Malacalcyonacea; Xeniidae
Exons: 3
Source: RefSeq, a predicted model, not a curated record